UCUGACCAGGGAUCUCUAUCUCGCUGGGGCCUCCAAAAUGUUGCAGUGUGCAAGCGAGAUCACACCAAAUGUGUCUAAGGCAUAUUAAGGAGUCUGUAUUA
RNAcentral lists this microRNA precursor (101 nucleotides) under Ochotona princeps (American pika). RNAcentral's name for it is "miRNA (ENSOPRG00000019171.1)". Lineage: Eukaryota; Metazoa; Chordata; Mammalia; Lagomorpha; Ochotonidae. The record is from RNAcentral.